UCGCCUGUUUUAUCAAAAACAUGUCCUCUUGGGUCAAUGAAUUUGAGGUUUGACCUGCCCACUGAGUAAGUUUUAAAGGGCCGCGGUAUUUUGACCGUGCAAAGGUAGCAUAAUCAUUAGUCUUUUAAUUGAAGGCUGGAAUGAAUGGUUGGACGAGGCACUGACUGUCUCGUAGUAAUUUGGGUUAGAAUUUAACGUUUAGGUGAAAAGGCUUAAAUAGAUUUGAAGGACGAGAAGACCCUAUAGAGCUUGAUAUUAGAGGUGUUACGAAUAUGUAGAAGAUUUUAUUUAUAGCAUGCGAUUAGUAUUUUAUUGGGGUGAUGGGAAGAUAAAAAAAACUCUUUUUGGUAAAUUAAUAUUGAUGAGUAGGUGUAUUGAUCCGUUAGUAGUGAUUAUAAGACUAAGUUACCUUAGGGAUAACAGCGUAAUCUUUUUUGAGAGAUCUUAUCGACAAAAAGGGUUGCGACCUCGAUGUUGGAUUAAGAAAAUGCUCGGGUGCAGGAGCUUGAGUGUUAGGUCUGUUCGACCUUUAAAUUCUUACAUGAUCUGAGUUCCAAACCGGAGA
Molecule: ribosomal RNA, 565 nt
Filed under: Inconeuria sp. BYU_PL154
Lineage: Eukaryota; Metazoa; Arthropoda; Insecta; Plecoptera; Perlidae
Description: partial 16S ribosomal RNA
Rfam family: Bacterial large subunit ribosomal RNA
Source: RNAcentral